RNAcentral lists this unclassified non-coding RNA (253 nucleotides) under uncultured Halomonadaceae bacterium. RNAcentral describes it as "contains 16S-23S intergenic spacer region". It matches the Rfam family "Bacterial small subunit ribosomal RNA", at positions 524 to 776 of the family's 1533-position model. The record is from RNAcentral. Lineage: Bacteria; Pseudomonadati; Pseudomonadota; Gammaproteobacteria; Oceanospirillales; Halomonadaceae.
UACGGAGGGUGCAAGCGUUAAUCGGAAUUACUGGGCGUAAAGCGCGCGUAGGUGGCUUGAUAAGCCGGUUGUGAAAGCCCCGGGCUCAACCUGGGAACGGCAUCCGGAACUGUCAAGCUAGAGUACAGGAGAGGAAGGUAGAAUUCCCGGUGUAGCGGUGAAAUGCGUAGAUAUCACGAGGAACACCAGAGGUGUAGACGGGUGACUGGACUGAUACUGACACUGAGGUGCGAAAGUGUGGGGAGCAAACAGG